Molecule: ribosomal RNA, 468 nt
Filed under: uncultured bacterium
Lineage: Bacteria
Description: partial 16S ribosomal RNA
Rfam family: Bacterial small subunit ribosomal RNA
Source: RNAcentral
GAUGAACGCUGGCGGCGUGCUUAACACAUGCAAGUCGAACGGUGAAGGCGGAGCUUGCUCUGCUGGAUCAGUGGCGAACGGGUGAGUAACACGUGAGCAAUCUGCCCCUGACUCUGGGAUAAGCGCUGGAAACGGCGUCUAAUACUGGAUACGAGCUGCGAAGGCAUCUUCAUCAGCUGGAAAGAACUUCGGUCAGGGAUGAGCUCGCGGCCUAUCAGCUUGUUGGUGAGGUAACGGCUCACCAAGGCGUCGACGGGUAGCCGGCCUGAGAGGGUGACCGGCCACACUGGGACUGAGACACGGCCCAGACUCCUACGGGAGGCAGCAGGGGGGAAUAUUGCACAAUGGGCGAAAGCCUGAUGCAGCAACGCCGCGUGAGGGACGACGGCCUUCGGGUUGUAAACCUCUUUUAGCAGGGAAGAAGCGAAAGUGACGGUACCUGCAGAAAAAGCGCCGGCUAACUACGUG